Oncorhynchus nerka (sockeye salmon) is the source of this 416-nucleotide long non-coding RNA. RefSeq lists it as uncharacterized. NCBI's taxonomy places the organism in Eukaryota, Metazoa, Chordata, Actinopteri, Salmoniformes, Salmonidae. The transcript has 3 exons. The record is from RefSeq and is a predicted model, not a curated record.
AUGGCCAGACGACAAACUCCAACUCACCCAAUGUUUUCUUCUUCAUUUAUCAGAUGUGAGUAGCAGUGAUACAUCCACAGACACAAGCAAUGGAGAUACCAGCGUGGAAACCACAGGCAGUCCUGAUGCCCCUGAUGCCCCAGGCAAGUUCUGCAUGCUGUGCUGUACUGAAGACUGCAUCGAGGAAAGCAGCCAUGUCGGGAGCCAAGGUUGUUGGGUGCCCUGUAUGGAGGCAUGUUGGAAGGAAUGUAUGGAGCCCUAUAUGGAUCUCUGUAUGGAGCCCUGUACACAGGAUUUGUCAAAGGUGUGCAACAGUAAGGGGGACAUUAAAGAGGACGGUAAGGGGGACAUUAAUGAGGACGGUAAGGGAGACAGUAAGGAGGACAGUAAGGGAGACGGUAAGGGAGACAGUAAGG